RNAcentral lists this ribosomal RNA (253 nucleotides) under uncultured bacterium. Its description in RNAcentral is "partial 16S ribosomal RNA". It matches the Rfam family "Bacterial small subunit ribosomal RNA", at positions 524 to 776 of the family's 1533-position model. The record is from RNAcentral.
UACGAAGGGGGCUAGCGUUGUUCGGAUUUACUGGGCGUAAAGCGCACGUAGGCGGGUCGUUAAGUCAGGGGUGAAAUCCCGGAGCUCAACUCCGGAACUGCCUUUGAUACUGGCGACCUUGAGGCUGGAAGAGGUUAGUGGAAUUCCCAGUGUAGAGGUGAAAUUCGUAGAUAUCUGGAGGAACACCGGUGGCGAAGGCGGCAUCCUGGACCGACACUGACGCUGAGGAGCGAAAGCCAGGGGAGCAAACGGG